AGAAGAAUGGCGGCGAAUUAGUCGGUAUCAAGCAUUCGUUUACUUUCAUUGAGAACGAAGAAGAAGAAGAAUCUGAUAACAAGAACGGCGAUGA
RNAcentral lists this small RNA (94 nucleotides) under Arabidopsis thaliana (thale cress). Its description in RNAcentral is "ATSL286170". Lineage: Eukaryota; Viridiplantae; Streptophyta; Magnoliopsida; Brassicales; Brassicaceae. The record is from RNAcentral.